RNAcentral lists this ribosomal RNA (391 nucleotides) under uncultured bacterium. Its description in RNAcentral is "bacterial SSU rRNA". It matches the Rfam family "Bacterial small subunit ribosomal RNA", at positions 32 to 402 of the family's 1533-position model. The record is from RNAcentral.
AAUCAACGCUGGCGGCGUGCCUCAGACAUGCAGGUCGAACGCGAAAGUCCCCUUCGGGGGAUGAGUAGAGUGGCGUCCGGGUGAGUAACACGUAGGUAAUCUACCUUUGGGUGGGGAAUAACCCCGAGAAAUCGGGGCUAAUACCGCAUAAUGCAGCGGCACCACAUGGUGACAGUUGUUAAAGCGGGGGAUCGCAAGACCUCGCGCCUAAAGAGGAGCCUGCGGCGGAUUAGCUAGNGGUAGGGUAACGGCCUACCAAGGCAACGAUCCGUAGCCGGCCUGAGAGGGCGGUCGGCCACACUGACACUGAAAUACGGGUCAGACUCCUACGGGAGGCAGCAGGUCGGGAAUUUUGGGCAAUGGGCGGAAGCCUGACCCAGCAACGCCGCGU